AUUAAAUGUGAUAUAAUUAUUCUGUAAAUCUUAUUUGCUUUGUAAAUCGCAUGUUCGAGCGGGCAACCCCAAAAUUAGUGGGAAAAGUAAAUACGUGGAUGGCAACACUGACGCUCGAGCAUACGAUGGCGGAUUACGUUUUGAUGCGAUUGUAAAAUGUGAUUAUUCGAAAUAAGAAUAUUGAGUUCAAAGUACGUGGUUUCAAUACAUAUCCUGGAGUAUUUCAACAAUUCAGAAGUGGUACCGACCUACCGAAAGUUUGGAAAUUCUGUUUGCUAUCCUGUACCCAACAAGUUACAAGGGGUCAGCUACACUAGAGAGGGGAGUGCAAUGUCUAAUGGGAGUCUGUGUAAUAUGACUACAGGGAGAAGAAAUGAUGAACCUAAAUAUACCUUUUACCAACCAACCAAGUCGGGAGGAUGACACCAUGAGCUCAGCGUCGAGACUCCAGCCACAAACUAUUCAAUAGUAAUAAUGAGUAGUAGCUUAAUUACAUAAUUAUUAGGUAUUUUACUUCAAUAAUGUCUGACUGAUUUAUCUUCUUUGUUAAUGUAACAAGAUCAAGUUAUAAUGUUAGUAGGUAAAAUGAUUUCAUUUAUGUUCUUAAAUAAUUGUAAGUUGAAAAGUAAAUCUAUUUUCUUUUGUUUUGGUUCUGAUAAGUUAUGCUAAAUAUUUUAAAUAGGGUACCUAAUUGUGAACAAUGUCCCAUUAAUCCAAGAUAGAUUAUUAAUUCACAUCUUACUUUAAUCUUGUUUGAUUGAUUUAUCAUUUUGAUUGAAUGUAAUGUCAGAAACUGAUCUCAUAUAAGUUCCUAAAUUAGUGAUGGUAAUUGAGAAGUGAAUCUAUUUUCUUUUGUUUUGGUUGUGAUAAGUUAUGUUAAAUACAUUUUAAAUAGGGUACCUAAUUGUAAACAAUGUAUGGGAGUUAAUCCAAGUUAGAUUACUUCACAUCUUUAAUCUUGUUUGAUUGUAUGUAUGUCAGAAAACUGAUCUCAUUUAUGUUCCUAAAUUAGUAACGUUCAUUGAGAAGUGAAUCAAUUAUUUUUUUUUAUUUUUUUAAUGGGUUCUGAUACCUCUAAAAUGUAAACGAUAAUGAUAAUUGGCCUAGUCCAAAUUUCGUUAACUUUUUCUUUUAUUUAUAAGUGUGGGACACACAGGCAGUCAAAUGGCCGAAACCGUAAUGAGGGCAUUCCGGGGACAGAAUGGCCGACUGUUAGCAUUAAAUGUGAUAUAAUUAUUCUGUAAAUCUUAUUUGCUUUGUAAAUCGCAUGUUCGAGCGGGCAACCCCAAAAUUAGUGGGAAAAGUAAAUACGUGGAUGGCAACACUGACGCUCGAGCAUACGAUGGCGGAUUACGUUUUGAUGCGAUUGUAAAAUGUGAUUAUUCGAAAUAAGAAUAUUGAGUUCAAA
Ostrinia nubilalis (European corn borer) is the source of this 1408-nucleotide long non-coding RNA. RefSeq lists it as uncharacterized. NCBI's taxonomy places the organism in Eukaryota, Metazoa, Arthropoda, Insecta, Lepidoptera, Crambidae. The record is from RefSeq and is a predicted model, not a curated record. The transcript is spliced from 2 exons.